CGGGACGGGUGAGUAAUGUCUAGGGAAACUGCCUGAUGGGGAGGGGGAUACACUGGAAACGGUAGCUAAUACCGCAUAACGUCGCAAGACCAAAGAGGGGGACCUUCGGGCCUCUUGCCAUCGGAUGUGCCCAGAUGGGAUUAGCUAGUAGGUGGGGUAACGGCUCACCUAGGCGACGAUCCCUAGCUGGUCUGAGAGGAUGGCCAGCCACACUGGAACUGAGACACGGUCCAG
This 234-nucleotide ribosomal RNA is filed under the name uncultured bacterium. RNAcentral's name for it is "partial 16S ribosomal RNA". It matches the Rfam family "Bacterial small subunit ribosomal RNA", at positions 100 to 334 of the family's 1533-position model. The record is from RNAcentral.